RNAcentral lists this long non-coding RNA (2017 nucleotides) under Mus musculus (house mouse). Its description in RNAcentral is "long non-coding RNA chr9:59807728-59809745". Lineage: Eukaryota; Metazoa; Chordata; Mammalia; Rodentia; Muridae. The record is from RNAcentral.
GUGCCAAGGAGUUCAAGGCUCCUUCCCACUGUCUUUUCUAUUAGAUUCAGUGUAUCUGGUUUUAUGUUGAGGUCCUUGAUCCAGCUGCUAAAGUGCUUGUUAUACAAGCAUGAUUACCUGAGUUUGGAUACACAUACUCAAGGAAAAGCUGGUUUUGUCAUGAAUCUAGGGUAAAGCUAGCACUGGGCAGGUAAAUGUGGGAGAGGAUGGCAGGAAAGCCAAAUAUCCUGAGCUUACUGGACAAUCAGGAUAGCCAGCCAGUCAGUGAGCUCUGGUUCCAUAAGAGAGACCUUGCCCGAAAAAAUAAGGUAGAAUGUGGUAGAGUGGCCAUGUCUUAAAUCACAGUGCUCAGGAAGAAGAGGCAGAUGGAUCUUUUGUGAGUUCUAGGUCAACCUGGUCUACAUAGUUCCAGGUCAGCCAGGGCUAUAUAGAGAUAUCCUGUCUCAGAAAACAAAAAAGCAAAACAAAAUAAAAUCUGAUGGGCAGAAAUAAGCCUAAUAUUGAUUCCUGUCUUAUUAAUUAAUUAAUUAAUAUUGAUUCCUGUCUUCUAUAGCACCUGUAUACAUAUACACAUCCACUCACACACCCUGCACACAUACACAGCAAAUAUUUUGUACUGAAAAUUAUUUUAUGAUGGGCAGAAAUAAGCCUAAUAUUGAUUCCUGUCUUAUUAAUUAAUUAAUUAAUAUUGAUUCCUGUCUUCUAUAGCACCUGUAUACAUAUACACAUUCACUCACACACCCUGCACACAUACACAGCAAAUAUUUUGUACUGAAAAUUAUUUUAUGUGUAUAAGUAUUUUGCUUGUAUGUACAUAUGUGUGCCACAUGUGUGCUUGAUUGACCAAGAAGUUUACAAGAAGAUGUCAAAAUAUUUGGAACUGGAAUUAUGAUGGUUGUGAGCCAUUACAUGGGCAAUCAGAACUGAAACCUUAUCCUCUGCAAGAACAAGUUUUUAACCACUGAUCACCAGUCCCCCUUUUUAUUCAUUUUUUAAAUAAUUCAGUCAGGUGUUGAUGGUACAUGCUUGGAACCCCAGCACUCAGGAGUUUAAACCAGUCUAGGCUACAAAGUGAGCCCCUGUCAUAAAUAAACAGGAUAGUAUUGACUUCUGUGGUAAGAGUAAAAACAAAGAGUCAUCUCUAUCUCAAAGUAUAAUAUUCAUAUUUAAAAAUAUAUUUCUGGAACAUAUGUACUCGGAGUAUUCCUCAAAUUUAAGGAGUGCUCCUAUCCUUUAGUCUUUCUAUUCAUUAGAUUGUGAAGUCUAGAAAAGCAUGUGUGUAGUUACAUACAUACAUACAUACAUACAUACAUACAUACAUACAAACAUAUGUGUAUGUGAUAGCUGUCUGUGAUUCUGGUGAGAACUCAUGACCUUUUACAGGCUAGACAAGCUCUCUAGAGUUAAAUACUCACUUGGAAGCAUGCAUUGAAAAGAUACCAUUUGUUACCCUUUUAUCUAUUUUAGGUAGAGGAAUUAUGGAUUAGUGAUAUGCUUAAAUUCUACUUUAGUCAUUAUUAGGAUUGCCUAUGUAUUUUCUUUGCAUUUCUUUAUAUUGAUUGCAUAUUUCUAACUUUCAUUAAAGUUUUUUUUUUUUUUACUUAGCUUUUCAAUAUAAGUCGUUUUCUCUCAUAAAUCUUACAUGUUGAAUAUAUUAUUCUGCUUUCUAGGUUAAAGAAGAGAUGCUAUUUGAAGCAUUAGUUACAAGGAAGACGGUGACAGUGGGAGAAAAGCUUAUUUUACCAUAUAAACUGGCAGAGGUAUGAUUUUCUUGUGCACAAAGUAUUUUGAAUAUUCUAGAAUAGAGUUUCUAGGGGGUUUUCCUUUCCCCUUUUUAAAAGUGAAGCUGACAUUAGGUAAAAUGUAUUAAUUAAAAUAUUUUCUAGGAAAACUGAAUUUCCCAUACAUUUGAAAGCUUAAAAUUUUGCGUGGCUUUAUAUUUACUUACAUAUUAAAAUGUAAUAAGACAAAACAAAAAUUGUCACAUUGAAGUGACAAGCCAGCAGCAAGAAAAGAG